GCGGUGGUAGUAUAGUGGCCUAGUAUUCGGCCUUGCCAAGGCUGUGACCCGGGUUCAAAGCAAGUAUCUUCGGAUGCUUCUGAAAGUCCCGGCCACCGCA
This 100-nucleotide transfer RNA is filed under the name Candidatus Woesearchaeota archaeon. Its description in RNAcentral is "tRNA-Gly". Lineage: Archaea; Nanobdellati; Candidatus Woesearchaeota. The record is from RNAcentral.